UUGGGCUAAAGCGUCGUAGCUGGCCGCGCAAGUCGUCGGGAAAUCCACUCGCUUAACGAGUGGGCGUCCGGCGAAAACUGUGCGGCUUGGGACCGGAAGAUCCAAGGGGUACGUCCGGGGUAGGAGUGAAAUCCUGUAAUCCUGGACGGACCACCGAUGGCGAAAGCACCUUGGAAGGACGGAUCCGACAGUGAGGGACGAAAGCUAGGGUCUCGAACC
This 219-nucleotide ribosomal RNA is filed under the name uncultured archaeon. Its description in RNAcentral is "partial 16S ribosomal RNA". It matches the Rfam family "Archaeal small subunit ribosomal RNA", at positions 505 to 725 of the family's 1478-position model. The record is from RNAcentral.